AAGUUCGAAACGAUGAAGCCCUUCGGGGGUGGAUUAKUGGCGAACGGGUGAGUAACACGUGGGCAAUCUGCCCUUCACUCUGGGACAAGCCCUGGAAACGGGGUCUAAUACCGGAUAACACUCCUGCCUGCAUGGGUGGGGGUUAAAAGCUCCGGCGGUGAAGGAUGAGCCCGCGGCCUWUCAKCUUGUUGGUGAGGUAGUGGCUCACCAAGGCGACGACGGGUAGCCGGCCUGAGAGGGCGACCGGCCACACUGGGACUGAGACACGGCCCAGACUCCUACGGGAGGCAGCAGUGGGGAAUAUUGCACAAUGGGCGAAAGCCUGAUGCAGCGACGCCGCGUGAGGGAUGACGGCCUUCGGGUUGUAAACCUCUUUCAGCAGGGAAGAAGCKAAAGUGACGGUACCUGCAGAAAGAAGCGCCGGCUAACUACGUGCCAGCAUUCGCGGUAAUACGUAUGGCGCAUGCGUUGUCCGGAAUUAUUGGG
Molecule: ribosomal RNA, 486 nt
Filed under: Actinomycetota bacterium
Lineage: Bacteria; Bacillati; Actinomycetota
Description: bacterial SSU rRNA
Source: RNAcentral